This 101-nucleotide non-coding RNA is filed under the name Roseobacter sp. RNAcentral describes it as "TPP sequence". It matches the Rfam family "TPP riboswitch aptamer (THI element)". Rfam says of the family: Vitamin B(1) in its active form thiamin pyrophosphate (TPP) is an essential coenzyme that is synthesised by coupling of pyrimidine and thiazole moieties in bacteria. The previously detected thiamin-regulatory element, thi box was extended, resulting in a new, highly conserved RNA secondary structure, the THI element, which is widely distributed in eubacteria and also occurs in some archaea. Analysis of operon structures identified a large number of new candidate thiamin-regulated genes, mostly transporters, in various prokaryotic organisms. The record is from RNAcentral. Lineage: Bacteria; Pseudomonadati; Pseudomonadota; Alphaproteobacteria; Rhodobacterales; Roseobacteraceae.
CCAUAUCCGUUGGGGUGUCCCGUCAUGGGGCUGAGAGGCGCAGCCAACCCAUCGAACCUGAUCCGGACAAUGCCGGCGUAGGGAACGGACCUGACCUGAGG